RNAcentral lists this ribosomal RNA (253 nucleotides) under uncultured bacterium. RNAcentral describes it as "partial 16S ribosomal RNA". It matches the Rfam family "Bacterial small subunit ribosomal RNA", at positions 524 to 776 of the family's 1533-position model. The record is from RNAcentral.
UACGUAGGGUGCGAGCGUUAAUCGGAAUUACUGGGCGUAAAGCGUGCGCAGGCGGUUCGCUGUGUCCGAUGUGAAAGCCCCGGGCUUAACCUGGGAAUGGCAUUGGAAACUGGCGGGCUUGAGUGUGGCAGAGGGGGGUGGAAUUCCGCGUGUAGCAGUGAAAUGCGUAGAGAUGCGGAGGAACACCGAUGGCGGAGGCAGCCCCCUGGGCUAACACUGACGCUCAGGCACGAAAGCGUGGGGAGCAAACAGG